This 71-nucleotide transfer RNA is filed under the name Monosiga brevicollis. It matches the Rfam family "tRNA". From Rfam's summary of the family: Transfer RNA (tRNA) molecules are approximately 80 nucleotides in length. Their secondary structure includes four short double-helical elements and three loops (D, anti-codon, and T loops). Further hydrogen bonds mediate the characteristic L-shaped molecular structure. tRNAs have two regions of fundamental functional importance: the anti-codon, which is responsible for specific mRNA codon recognition, and the 3' end, to which the tRNAs corresponding amino acid is attached (by aminoacyl-tRNA synthetases). tRNAs cope with the degeneracy of the genetic code in two manners: having more than one tRNA (with a specific anti-codon) for a particular amino acid; and 'wobble' base-pairing, i.e. permitting non-standard base-pairing at the 3rd anti-codon position. Lineage: Eukaryota; Choanoflagellata; Craspedida; Salpingoecidae. The record is from Rfam by way of RNAcentral.
GAUUCGUUGGUUCAAUGGUAGAAUUACCGCUUCCCACGCGGUAGACCCGGGUUCGAUUCCCGGACGAAUUA